Molecule: long non-coding RNA, 1646 nt
Organism: Anopheles funestus (African malaria mosquito)
Lineage: Eukaryota; Metazoa; Arthropoda; Insecta; Diptera; Culicidae
Exons: 3
Source: RefSeq, a predicted model, not a curated record
UGGCAAGGGGUACCCCUUAUGAAAUUUUCGAGUGGAAAAUUUUUUUGAAAUUUUUUUCUGAUUUUUUAUUUUUUUUAUAAUUUAAAGCAUUAUUUGAGUGAAAAGAAACUUAUUGCAACAAACUCGCAAUAAAAUAUAUCACAUUUAAAAAUUUUGCUGAAUUGCAGAAAAAUGAGGAAAAUUUUACAUUUUCUUAAACAGGGUAAGGAACUUGGUUCCUCGCAUAACUUCUGGCACAGACAUCUGAGGGCAUGGCCGCCCAAGAAGAAAAUGUAGGCAUUGAUGCCAUCUAUCGACCCCAAGCAAAGAUCGGAGAUCCGUUAGAUACCGACCGAGUUAUAGGCAAAAUUUGGUGCAAAAAUGAGGAAAAUUUUACAUUUUCUCAAACAGGGUAAGGAACUUGGUUCCUCGCAUAACUUCUGGCACAGACAUCUGAGGGCAUGGCCGUCCAAGAAGAAAAUGUAGCCAUUGGUGCCAUCUAUCGACCACAGGUUAAAGAUUGGCGAUCCGUUGGAUACCGACCGAGCUAUAGGCAAAACUUGGUGCGAAAAUGAGCCUUAGUGGAUUGACAAAUUUAUAGAUUUUUUCAAUUUUUUUCAUUAUUUUUUACCUUUUUUUAAUUUAAAGCAUUGUUUGAGUGAAAAGGAACUAAUUGCAACAAUUUCUCAUUAAAAUAAAACAAAUUUUUAAAUUUUGCUAAAUUUCUCAAAAAAUUUCAAGGGGUACCCCUUAUGAAAUUUUCGAGUGGAAAAUUUUUUUGAAAUUUUUUUCUGAUUUUUUAUUCUUUUUUAAUUUAAAGCAUUAUUUGAGUGAAAAGAAACUUAUUGCAACAAACUCGCAAUAAAAUAUAUCACAUUUAAAAAUUUUGCUGAAUUGCAGAAAAAUGAGGAACAUUUUACAUUUUCUCAAACAGGGUAAGGAACUUGGUUCCUCGCAUAACUUCUGGCACAGACAUCUGAGGGCAUGGCCGUCCAAGAAGAAAAUGUAGCCAUUGAUGCCAUCUAUCGACCAUAGGCAAAAAUUGGAGAUCCGUUGGAUACCGACCGAGUUAUAGGCAAAAUUUGGUGCAAAAAUGAGGAAAAUUUUACAUUUUCUCAAACAGGGUAAGGAACUUGGUUCCUCGCAUAACUUCUGGCACAGACAUCUGAGGGCAUGGCCGUCCAAGAAGAAAAUGUAGGCAUUGAUGCCAUCUAUCGACCCCAUGCAAAGAUUGGAGAUCCGUUAGAUACCAACCGAGUUAUAGGCAAAACUUGGUGCAAAAAUGAGGAAAAUUUUACAUUUUCUCAAACAGGGUAAGGAACUUGGUUCCUCGCAUAACUUCUGGCACAGACAUCUGAGGGCAUGGCCGUCAACGAAGAAAAUGUAGCCAUUGGUGCCAUCUAUCGACCACAGGUUAAAGAUUGGCGAUCCGUUGGAUACCGACCGAGCUAUAGGCAAAACUUGGUGCGAAAAUGAGCCUUAGUGGAUUGACAAAUUUAUAGAUUUUUUCAAUUUUUUUCAUUAUUUUUUACCUUUUUUUAAUUUAAAGCAUUGUUUGAGUGAAAAGGAACUAAUUGCAACAAUUUCGCAUUAAAAUAAAACAAAUUUUUAAAUUUUGCUAAAUUUCUCAAAAAAAUGGCAAGGGGUACCCCUUAUGAAAUUUUCAA